UCUGGAUGACUUCUCUGAACAGCAUGGGGUCAAGGAUGACUGCCAAGUCACACCUGCCUUUCUCCUGGAUGUCUUUUCUUAUCAUUACAGUUGAAAUGCAAGAGAAACCCUAAAAGAAAUGUGAAGCUGAGAAGGACACAGCUCUCUGACCAUGACCACAGGAAGUGGCCCCAGCAUGGACAGCUGAACAUGGGAGCUGCUUAACAACCAGGUCCAAAAGUGGGAGCAUUCUCAAAGUAACACCUUCCUCCCUGACUUACACAGGGCCUGGUGCAGAAGUGCUUCUCCUUCCCCUUGCCCCUGGACCUGAGCCGGAGCUGUCUAUCUACAUGAGGACACCAUCUGGCAACACUGAAAUGUUGCCCUCACUGUAUGCCAUCACCAGGAAGACAAGCAAUAGAUAAUGAGUGAAAAUAAAAU
RNAcentral lists this long non-coding RNA (420 nucleotides) under Pan paniscus (pygmy chimpanzee). RNAcentral describes it as "lncRNA (ENSPPAG00000045021.1)". The record is from RNAcentral. Lineage: Eukaryota; Metazoa; Chordata; Mammalia; Primates; Hominidae.